RNAcentral lists this ribosomal RNA (484 nucleotides) under uncultured bacterium. Its description in RNAcentral is "partial 16S ribosomal RNA". It matches the Rfam family "Bacterial small subunit ribosomal RNA", at positions 30 to 507 of the family's 1533-position model. The record is from RNAcentral.
AUUGAACGCUGGCGGCAGGCCUAACACAUGCAAGUCGAGCGGAUGAAGGGAGAUUGCUUCUGGAUUCAGCGGCGGACGGGUGAGUAAUGCAUAGGAAUCUGCCUGGUAGUGGGGGAUAACGUCCGGAAACGAGCGCUAAUACCGCAUAAGUGCUGAGGGAGAAAGUGGGGGAUCUUCGGACCUCACGCUAUCAGAUGAGCCUAGGUCGGAUUAGCUAGUUGGUGGGGUAAAGGCCUACCAAGGCGACGAUCCGUAACUGGUCUGAGAGGAUGAUCAGUCACACUGGAACUGAGACACGGUCCAGACUCCUACGGGAGGCAGCAGUGGGGAAUAUUGGACAAUGGGCGAAAGCCUGAUCCAGCCAUGCCGCGUGUGUGAAGAAGGUCUUCGGAUUGUAAAGCACUUUAAUUUGGGAGGAAGAGCAGUAAGUUAAUACCUUGCUGUUUUGACGUUACCAACAGAAUAAGCACCGGCUAACUUCGUG